RNAcentral lists this ribosomal RNA (572 nucleotides) under uncultured archaeon. RNAcentral describes it as "bacterial SSU rRNA". It matches the Rfam family "Archaeal small subunit ribosomal RNA", at positions 52 to 625 of the family's 1478-position model. The record is from RNAcentral.
UGCUAGUUGUACGAGCUCAUACUCGUAGCAAAUAGCUCCGUAACACGUGGCCAAACAACCCUACAGAGAACGAUACCCUCGGGAAACUGAGGCUAAUAGUUCAUACCCGUCCACAGCUGGAAUGCUUGGACGCGCAAACGCUCCGGCGCUGUAGGACGUGGCUGCGGCCGAUUAGGUAGACGGUGGGGUAACGGCCCACCGUGCCGAUAAUCGGUACGGGUUGUGAGAGCAAGAACCCGGAGACGGAAUCUGAGACAAGAUUCCGGGCCCUACGGGGCGCAGCAGGCGCGAAACCUUUACACUGCACGCAAGUGCGAUAAGGGGACCCCAAGUGCGAGGGCAUAUAGUCCUCGCUUUUCACGACUGUAAGGCGGUCGUGGAAUAAGAGCUGGGCAAGACCGGUGCCAGCCGCCGCGGUAAUACCGGCAGCUCAAGUGAUGACCGAUAUUAUUGGGCCUAAAGCGUCCGUAGCCGGCCACGAAGGUUCAUCGGGAAAUCCGCCAGCUCAACUGGCGGGCGUCCGGUGAAAACCACGUGGCUUGGGACCGGAAGGCUCGAGGGGUACGUCCGGG